This 1012-nucleotide ribosomal RNA is filed under the name uncultured Actinomycetes bacterium. RNAcentral describes it as "bacterial SSU rRNA". It matches the Rfam family "Bacterial small subunit ribosomal RNA", at positions 338 to 1358 of the family's 1533-position model. The record is from RNAcentral. Lineage: Bacteria; Bacillati; Actinomycetota; Actinomycetes.
CCUACGGGAGGCAGCAGUGGGGAAUAUUGCACAAUGGGCGGAAGCCUGAUGCAGCAACGCCGCGUGCGGGAUGACGGCCUUCGGGUUGUAAACCGCUUUCGCCUGUGACGAAGCGUGAGUGACGGUAAUGGGUAAAGAAGCACCGGCUAACUACGUGCCAGCAGCCGCGGUGAUACGUAGGGUGCGAGCGUUGUCCGGAUUUAUUGGGCGUAAAGGGCUCGUAGGUGGUUGAUCGCGUCGGAAGUGUAAUCUUGGGGCUUAACCCUGAGCGUGCUUUCGAUACGGGUUGACUUGAGGAAGGUAGGGGAGAAUGGAAUUCCUGGCGGAGCGGUGGAAUGCGCAGAUAUCAGGAGGAACACCAGUGGCGAAGGCGGUUCUCUGGGCCUUUCCUGACGCUGAGGAGCGAAAGCGUGGGGAGCGAACAGGCUUAGAUACCCUGGUAGUCCACGCUGUAAACGGUGGGUACUAGGUGUGGGGUCCAUUCCACGGGUUCCGUGCCGUAGCUAACGCUUUAAGUACCCCGCCUGGGGAGUACGGCCGCAAGGCUAAAACUCAAAGGAAUUGACGGGGCCCCGCACAAGCGGCGGAGCAUGCGGAUUAAUUCGAUGCAACGCGUAGAACCUUACCUGGGUUUGACAUGGAUCGGGAGUGCUCAGAGAUGGGUGUGCCUCUUUUGGGGUCGGUUCACAGGCGGUGCAUGGCUGUCGUCAGCUCGUGUCGUGAGAUGUUGGGUUAAGUCCCGCAACGAGCGCAACCCUUGUUCACUGUUGCCAGCACGUUAUGGUGGGGACUCAGUGGAGACCGCCGGGGUCAACUCGGAGGAAGGUGGGGAUGACGUCAAGUCAUCAUGCCCCUUAUGUCCAGGGCUUCACGCAUGCUACAAUGGCUGGUACAGAGAGUGGCGAGCCUGUGAGGGUGAGCGAAUCUCGGAAAGCCGGUCUCAGUUCGGAUUGGGGUCUGCAACUCGACCUCAUGAAGUCGGAGUCGCUAGUAAUCGCAGAUCAGCAACGCU